Molecule: ribosomal RNA, 122 nt
Filed under: Helianthus annuus (common sunflower)
Lineage: Eukaryota; Viridiplantae; Streptophyta; Magnoliopsida; Asterales; Asteraceae
Source: RNAcentral
GGUUGGGAUCAUACCAGCACUAAUGCACCGGAUCCCAUCAGAACUUCGCAGGUAAACGUGUUUGGACGACAGUAUAUUACUAGAAUGGGUGACCUCCUAGGAAGUUCUUGUGUUGCAACCCA